AAAUCUUUAAACAAACAGGAUCAAACAAUGGAAAGCAUGUAAAAGAGUGGUUAAGGGCUCAGGCUGGAGUGACAGCUAGUUUCCAGUUCUAGCCAUGCCAUACACUAGCUGUGUGACCUUGCACGUAUUGCGCCACCCCGGAGAUCUAUUUCCUCAUCUGUCAAACUGAGACUACCUUCAUCACGUAGAAGAUCCGGUGAACUAACCUGCGUAAAGGCUUUCGACACAGGGCCUGACGGCUGCCAGGAUUUUCCCUUUCUGUCCUGGACCACAAGAAGGUCAUAAAGUCUCUUUCCUCUGACUUCUGACGUUAGAUGGCAAUGUGGAUCUUGAAGAAUUGCUCUGUUAUUCUGAGGUGGACACAAACUGGCAAGGACAUCAGAGUUGGUGAAAUCCCAACCCAAGCCAAGAACCCAGAGAGCCUCCCUGGGCAGCGACAUUGGUGGCCAAAGUAGGAACAGGAGCGUGGCAUGGGUGUUGAAAUCAUGACCCUGAGAUCA
This is a long non-coding RNA of Mustela erminea (ermine), 500 nucleotides long. RefSeq lists it as uncharacterized. The record is from RefSeq and is a predicted model, not a curated record. The transcript is spliced from 3 exons. Lineage: Eukaryota; Metazoa; Chordata; Mammalia; Carnivora; Mustelidae.